CAAUAGCGUAUAUUAAAGUUGUUGCAGUUAAAAAGCUCGUAGUUGGACCUUGGACCUGGACAGGCGGUCCGCCUCACGGCGAGUACUGUCUUGCUGGGUCUUUCCUCUCGGUGAUCUGUUGUUUCGGCAGCAGGGAACCAGGACCUUUACUUUGAAAAAAUUAGAGUGUUCAAAGCAGGCUCGACGCCGGAAUAUAUUAGCAUGGAAUAAUAAAAUAGGACGUGCGGUUCUAUUUUGUUGGUUUUUGGAAUCGCCGUAAUGAUUAAUAGGGACAGUCGGGGGCAUUAGUACUCACAUGCUAGAGGUGAAAUUCUUGGAUUUUGUGAAGACUAACUUCUGCGAAAGCAUUUGCCAAGGAUGUUUUCAUUAA
RNAcentral lists this ribosomal RNA (370 nucleotides) under uncultured eukaryote. Its description in RNAcentral is "partial 18S ribosomal RNA". It matches the Rfam family "Eukaryotic small subunit ribosomal RNA", at positions 592 to 976 of the family's 1831-position model. The record is from RNAcentral.